This 932-nucleotide ribosomal RNA is filed under the name uncultured Bacillota bacterium. Its description in RNAcentral is "bacterial SSU rRNA". It matches the Rfam family "Bacterial small subunit ribosomal RNA", at positions 19 to 916 of the family's 1533-position model. The record is from RNAcentral. Lineage: Bacteria; Bacillati; Bacillota.
AUGGCUCAGGAUGAACGCUGGCGGCAUGCCUAAGACAUGCAAGUCGAACGAGAUGGCCCAGUGAAAGUUGCGUGCUUGCACAAGACUGGAUCUGGAUCACCAUCUAGUGGCAGACGGGUGAGUAACACGUGGGUGACCUACCUUUUCGUUGGGGAUAACAGUUGGAAACGAUUGCUAAUACCGAAUAAAAUAUAAGAGUCGGUUUUAUAUUGAAAGGAGCCUUUAAAGCUUCGCGAUUAGAUGGGCCUGCGGCGUAUUAACUAGUUGGUGGGGUAAUGGCCUACCAAGGUAACGAUGCGUAGCCGAACUGAGAGGUUGAUCGGCCACACUGGGACUGAGACACGGCCCAGACUCCUACGGGAGACAGCAGUUAGGAAUAUUCGUCAAUGGAGGAAACUCUGAACGAGCAAUGCCGCGUGAGUGAUGAAGGUCUUAUAGAUUGUAAAACUCUGUUGUAUGGAAAAAACGACUAGGUUAGGAAAUGAACUUAGUGUGAUGGUACCAUACCAGAAAGCCCCGGCUAACUACGUGCCAGCAGCCGCGGUAAUACGUAGGGGGCGAGCGUUAUCCGGAUUUAUUGGGCGUAAAGCGUGUGUAGGCGGUUUGUUAAGUUUAAGAUUAAAGCCCGGGGCUCAACUCCGGUAAGUCUUAAAAACUGGCAGGCUUGAGUACGGUAGAGGCAAACGGAAUUUCUAGUGUAGCGGUGAAAUGCGUAGAUAUUAGAAGGAACACCAGUGGCGAAAGCGGUUUGCUGGGCCGUUACUGACGCUGAGGCACGAAAGCGUGGGGAGCAAAUAGGAUUAGAUACCCUAGUAGUCCACGCCGUAAACGAUGAGUACUAAGUGUUGGGGUUACCCAGUGCUGAAGCUAACGUAUUAAGUACUCCGCCUGAGUAGUACGGUCGCAAGGCUGCAACUCAAAUGAAUUGACGG